RNAcentral lists this RNase P RNA (355 nucleotides) under Aeriscardovia sp. RNAcentral's name for it is "RNase P RNA component class A". It matches the Rfam family "Bacterial RNase P class A". From Rfam's summary of the family: Ribonuclease P (RNase P) is a ubiquitous endoribonuclease, found in archaea, bacteria and eukarya as well as chloroplasts and mitochondria. Its best characterised activity is the generation of mature 5'-ends of tRNAs by cleaving the 5'-leader elements of precursor-tRNAs. Cellular RNase Ps are ribonucleoproteins. Lineage: Bacteria; Bacillati; Actinomycetota; Actinomycetes; Bifidobacteriales; Bifidobacteriaceae. The record is from RNAcentral.
AAGGGCUUCCGGGUGGCUGCGUGGAUAAUCCCACGAGGAACUUCCGGGCUCCAUAGAGCGCGAUGGCGGGUAACGCCCGCCCAGGGAAACCUGAGAGAAAGCGCAACAGAAAACAUACCGCCCCCCUGUCGGGGGUAAGGGCGAAAAGGCGGUGUAAGAGACCACCGGGCACUUUGGUAACAAAGGCCGCAGGCAAACCUCAUCGGGAGCAAGAUCAAGUAGGAUGCAUUGAAGUUGCUCGCUUCGCAUCCGGGUAGAUCGCUUGAUUUGCCUGGCAACAGGCAAACUAGAUGGAUAGCCACCCGCGCCUCAUUUCAAGGCGUGACAGAACCCGGGGUAUAGGAAGCCCCAAUCU